This 171-nucleotide ribosomal RNA is filed under the name uncultured Candida. RNAcentral's name for it is "partial 26S ribosomal RNA". It matches the Rfam family "Eukaryotic large subunit ribosomal RNA", at positions 62 to 231 of the family's 3401-position model. Lineage: Eukaryota; Fungi; Ascomycota; Saccharomycetes; Saccharomycetales. The record is from RNAcentral.
AAACCAACUGGGAUUGCCUUAGUAACGGCGAGUGAAGCGGCAAAAGCUCAAAUUUGAAAUCUGGUACCUUUGGUGCCCGAGUUGUAAUUUGGAGAGUACCACUUUGGGACUGUACUUCGCCUAUGUUCCUUGGAACAGGACGUCAUGGAGGGAGAGAAUCCCGUGUGGCGA